This 260-nucleotide ribosomal RNA is filed under the name uncultured bacterium. RNAcentral describes it as "partial 16S ribosomal RNA". It matches the Rfam family "Bacterial small subunit ribosomal RNA", at positions 92 to 351 of the family's 1533-position model. The record is from RNAcentral.
CGAGUGGCGGACGGGUGGAGUAAUGUCUGGGAAACUGCCUGAUGGAGGGGGAUAACUACUGGAAACGGUAGCUAAUACCGCAUAACGUCGCAAGACCAAAGAGGGGGACCUUCGGGCCUCUUGCCAUCGGAUGUGCCCAGAUGGGAUUAGCUAGUAGGUGGGGUAACGGCUCACCUAGGCGACGAUCCCUAGCUGGUCUGAGAGGAUGACCAGCCACACUGGAACUGAGACACGGUCCAGACUCCUACGGGAGGCAGAUG